This 492-nucleotide ribosomal RNA is filed under the name uncultured bacterium. RNAcentral describes it as "partial 16S ribosomal RNA". It matches the Rfam family "Bacterial small subunit ribosomal RNA", at positions 30 to 507 of the family's 1533-position model. The record is from RNAcentral.
AUUGAACGCUGGCGGCAUGCUUUACACAUGCAAGUCGAACGGUAACAGGCCUUCGGGUGCUGACGAGUGGCGAACGGGUGAGUAAUGCAUCGGAACGUGCCCAGAGGUGGGGGAUAACGCAGCGAAAGCUGUGCUAAUACCGCAUGUGAUCUGAGGAUCAAAGCGGGGGACCAGGCAGCAAUGUUUGGCCUCGCGCCUUUGGAGCGGCCGAUGUCAGAUUAGGUAGUUGGUGGGGUAAAGGCCUACCAAGCCGACGAUCUGUAGCUGGUCUGAGAGGACGACCAGCCACACUGGGACUGAGACACGGCCCAGACUCCUACGGGAGGCAGCAGUGGGGAAUUUUGGACAAUGGGCGCAAGCCUGAUCCAGCAAUGCCGCGUGCGGGAAGAAGGCCUUCGGGUUGUAAACCGCUUUUGUACGGAACGAAAAGGCUCUGGCUAAUACCUGGGGCUGAUGACGGUACCGUAAGAAUAAGCACCGGCUAACUACGUG